Molecule: long non-coding RNA, 421 nt
Organism: Pogonomyrmex barbatus (red harvester ant)
Lineage: Eukaryota; Metazoa; Arthropoda; Insecta; Hymenoptera; Formicidae
Source: RefSeq, a predicted model, not a curated record
UUUUACCUGAAAAUACAUAUUGUACGAGAUGCUGAUAGGUGCCACAACGACAAACCUACACAACAAGUGCCAUGUAACUUCGGAUAAUACGUAGUAAUCGAAUAGAGACUGUUUUCUACGUUAAUACCUUCGCAAACUAUCUCUAAUGCUGACGUCAUUCCAAGACAAAUAUUCUGCUUCGUGCAAAGCCAUGCCGCAAUGCGAAACAAGACACAGAGAAACUGGAUAAAUUAUCAAAGACUCUUCGCCAUUAUCGGACAACUCGAAUGGGACAGUUCGUGGGAGCUGAUAAACUCAUUUCGUGCAACACAUUUUGCUAUAUACUUAUAUUAAACGUCUAUUUAAUAAAUCACAACGCAAGGGAUAUGCGCCUAAAUAUCAAACAGUGAAGUCCAAUCAAUAAAAUAGAAGAGAAACAUCG